CUAGAUCAUGUGGUAGCUUCAUC
Molecule: microRNA, 23 nt
Filed under: Prunus persica (peach)
Lineage: Eukaryota; Viridiplantae; Streptophyta; Magnoliopsida; Rosales; Rosaceae
Description: microRNA miRNA_390
Source: RNAcentral